This 488-nucleotide ribosomal RNA is filed under the name uncultured bacterium. RNAcentral describes it as "partial 16S ribosomal RNA". It matches the Rfam family "Bacterial small subunit ribosomal RNA", at positions 28 to 507 of the family's 1533-position model. The record is from RNAcentral.
GACGAACGCUGGCGGCGUGCUUAACACAUGCAAGUCGAACGAAAAUACCAAGCUUGCUUGGUUGAUUAGUGGCGAACGGGUGAGUAACACGUGAGUAACCUGCCCCUUACUUUCCUGGAUAACUGCUCGAAAGGGUAGCUAAUACGGGAUAUUCUGACCAGCCUGCAUGGGUUGGUUUGGAAAGGUUGUUUUUCUGGUAAGGGAUGGGCUCGCGGCCUAUCAGCUUGUUGGUGGGGUGAUGGCCUACCAAGGCUUUGACGGGUAGCCGGCCUGAGAGGGUGGACGGUCACACUGGGACUGAGAUACGGCCCAGACUCCUACGGGAGGCAGCAGUGGGGAAUAUUGCACAAUGGGCGCAAGCCUGAUGCAGCGACGCCGCGUGAGGGAUGAAGGCCUUCGGGUUGUAAACCUCUUUCGUCAGGGAACAAGGCACUGCUUUUUUGGUGGUGUUGAGGGUACCUGGAUAAGAAGCGCCGGCUAACUACGUA